AUUGAACGCUGGCGGCAGGCCUAACACAUGCAAGUCGAGCGGAGCGGCGGACGGAUGAGUAAUGCCUAGGAAUCUGCCUGGUAGUGGGGGAUAACGUCCGGAAACUGGCGCUAAUACAGCAUACUAUCAGAGGAGCCUAGGUCGGAGUAGCUAGUUUGUGGGGUAAAUGCCUACCAAGGAGACGAUCCGUAACGUGUCUGAGAGUAUGAUCAGUCACACUGUAACUGAGCCACUGUCCAGACUCCUCCUGGAGGCAGCAGUGUGGAAUAUUGGACAAUGGGCGAAAGCUUGAUCCAGCCAUGCCGCGUGUGUGAAGAAGUGCUUCGGAUUGUAAAGCACUUUAAGUUGGGAGGCGUUACCAACAGAAUACGCACCGGCUAACUUCGUGCCAGCAGCCGCGGUAAUUC
Molecule: ribosomal RNA, 407 nt
Filed under: uncultured bacterium
Lineage: Bacteria
Description: partial 16S ribosomal RNA
Rfam family: Bacterial small subunit ribosomal RNA
Source: RNAcentral